This 69-nucleotide transfer RNA is filed under the name Pelodytes cf. punctatus II-2011. RNAcentral's name for it is "tRNA-Arg". It matches the Rfam family "tRNA". Rfam says of the family: Transfer RNA (tRNA) molecules are approximately 80 nucleotides in length. Their secondary structure includes four short double-helical elements and three loops (D, anti-codon, and T loops). Further hydrogen bonds mediate the characteristic L-shaped molecular structure. tRNAs have two regions of fundamental functional importance: the anti-codon, which is responsible for specific mRNA codon recognition, and the 3' end, to which the tRNAs corresponding amino acid is attached (by aminoacyl-tRNA synthetases). tRNAs cope with the degeneracy of the genetic code in two manners: having more than one tRNA (with a specific anti-codon) for a particular amino acid; and 'wobble' base-pairing, i.e. permitting non-standard base-pairing at the 3rd anti-codon position. Lineage: Eukaryota; Metazoa; Chordata; Amphibia; Anura; Pelodytidae. The record is from RNAcentral.
AGGCCUUUAGUCUAACCAAGACAGCUGAUUUCGACUCAGCAAAUUAAAGUUAAAAUCCUUAAUGGCCUU